Molecule: ribosomal RNA, 304 nt
Filed under: uncultured eukaryote
Lineage: Eukaryota
Description: partial large subunit ribosomal RNA
Rfam family: Eukaryotic large subunit ribosomal RNA
Source: RNAcentral
AUAUCAAUAAGCGGAGGAAAAGAAACCAACAGGGAUUGCCUCAGUAACGGCGAGUGAAGCGGCAAAAGCUCAAAUUUGAAAUCUCCUUCGGGCGAGUUGUAAUUUGAAGAGGAUGCUUUGGAAGAUUAGAGGUACAAGUUCCUUGGAACAGGACAUCAUAGAGGGUGAGAAUCCUGUAUGUGAUCUCAUAAUCAACCGUGUAGAGCUCCUUCGACGAGUCGAGUUGUUCGGGAAUGCAGCUCUAAAUGGGAGGUAUAUUCCUUCUAAAGCUAAAUACCGGCCAGAGACCGAUAGCGCACAAGUA